ACUGACACGCUGUCCUUUCCCUAUUAACACUAAAGGACACUAGAAGAGACCCUUUCGAUUUAAGGCUGUUUUGCUUGUCCAGCCUAUUCUUUUUUACUGGCUUGGGUCUGUCGCGGUGCCUGAAGCUGUCCCCGAGCCACGCUUCCUGCUUUCCCGGGCUUGCUGCUUGCGUGCGCUUGCUGUGGGCAGCUUGUGACAACUGGGCGCUGUGACUUUGCUGCGUGUCAGACGUUUUUCCCGAUUUCCCCGAGGUGUUGUCACACCUGUCCCGGUUACGAGACCCAUGUGUGAGGCCAUUGUCUGGAGUGGAGUCCGGACAUCGCUCUCUUUUUUUUCUUCUCUUGGAGUCCCGAGCCUCCGCUCUUUUCUCUUCCCGGUCUUUCUUCCAUAUGCCUCCCGAGUGCAUUUUUUUUUUUUUGUUUUUUUUGUUUUUGUUUUUUUUUUGGGGAGGUGGAGAGUCCCGGGUACUUCACUCCUGUCUGCGGUGUCCAAGUGUUCAUGCCACGUGCCUCCCGAGUGCACUUUUUUUGUGGCAGUCGCUCGUUCUGUUCUCUUGUUCUGUGUCUGUAUCCGUAUCCGUAACUGUCUUGCCCCGCGUGUAAGACAUUCCUAUCUCGCUUGUUUCUCCCGAUUGCGCGUCGUUGCUCACUCUUAGAUCGAUGUGGUGCUCCGGAGUUCUCUUCGGGCCAGGGCCUAAGCCGCGCCAGGCGAGGGACGGACAUUCAUGGCGAAUGGCGGCCGCUCUUCUCGUUCUGCCAGCGGGCCCCUCGUCUCUCCACCCCAUCCGUCUGCCGGUGGUGUGUGGAAGGCAGGGGUGCGGCUCUCCGGCCCGAGCGCUGCCCCGCGCGCACUUUUCUCAGUGGUUCGCGUGGUCCUUGUGGAUGUGUGAGGCGCCCGGUUGUGCCCUCACGUGUUUCACUUUGGUCGUGUCUCGCUUGACCAUGUUCCCAGAGUCGGUGGAUGUGGCCGGUGGCGUUGCAUACUCCUCCGUCUGGUGUGUGCACGCGCUGUUUCUUGUAAGCCUCGAGGUGCUCCUGGAGCGUUCCAGGUUUGUCUCCUAGGUGCCUGCUUCUGAGCUGGUGGUGGCGCUUCCCAUUCCCUGGUGUGCCUCCGGUGCUCCGUCUGGCUGUGUGCCUUCCCGUUUGUGUCCGAGAAGCCCGUGAGAGGGGGGUCGAGGAGAGAAGGAGGGGCAAGAGCCCCCUUCUUCGUCGGGUGAGCGCCCACCCCGCGCACUAGUACGCCUGUGCGUAGGGCUGGUGCUGAGCGGUCGCGGCUGGCCUUGGAAAGUUUCUCGAGACUCAUUGCUUUCCCGUGGGGAGCUUUGAGAGGCCUGGCUUUCGGGGGGGACCGGUUGCAGGGUCUCCCCUGUCCGCGGAUGCUCAGAAUGCCCUUGGAAGAGAACCUUCCUGUUGCCGCAGACCCCCCCGCGCGGUCGCCCGCGUGUUGGUCUUCUGGUUUCCCUGUGUGCUCGUUGCAUGCAUCCUCUCUCGGUUGCCGGGGCUCGUCGGGGUUUUGGGUCCGUCCCGCCCUCAGUGAGAAAGUUUCCUUCUCUAGCUAUCUUCUGGAAAGGGUGCGGGCUUCUUACGGUCUCGAGGGGUCUCUCCCGAAUGGUCCCCUCGAGGACUCGCCCCUGAUCCGCCUCCCCGCGCGCAGCGUUUGCUCUCUCGUCUACCGCGGCCCGCGCCUCCCCGCCCCGAGUUCGGGGAGGGAUCACGCGGGGCAGAGCCUGUCUGUCGUCCUGCCGUUGCUGCGGAGCCAUGUGGCUCCGGUUGUGUGGUGGUGGCUGGGGAAAGGGCUCCGUGCACACCCCCGCGUGCGCGGUACUUUCCUCCCCUCCUGAGGGCCGCCGUGCGGGACGGGGUGUGGGUAGGCGACGGUGGGCUCCCGGGUCCCCACCCGUCUUCCCGUGCCUCACCCGUGCCUUCCGUCGCGUGCGUCCCUCUCGCUCGCGUCCACGACUUUGGCCGCUCCCGCGACGCGGGCCUGCGCCGCGCGUGGUG
RNAcentral lists this unclassified non-coding RNA (2000 nucleotides) under Mus musculus (house mouse). RNAcentral describes it as "partial external transcribed spacer". Lineage: Eukaryota; Metazoa; Chordata; Mammalia; Rodentia; Muridae. The record is from RNAcentral.